RNAcentral lists this ribosomal RNA (81 nucleotides) under Octodon degus (degu). The record is from RNAcentral. Lineage: Eukaryota; Metazoa; Chordata; Mammalia; Rodentia; Octodontidae.
GACUACGGCCAUACCACCCUGAACACGCCCGAUCUUGUCUGAUCUUGGAAGCUAAGCAGGGUUGGGCCUGGUUAGUAGUUG